AACGAACGCUGGCGGCAUGCCUAACACAUGCAAGUCGAACGAGACCUUCGGGUCUAGUGGCGCACGGGUGCGUAACGCGUGGGAAUCUGCCCUUGGGUUCGGAAUAACAGUUGGAAACGAUUGCUAAUACCGGAUGAUGACGUAAGUCCAAAGAUUUAUCGCCCAGGGAUGAGCCCGCGUAGGAUUAGCUAGUUGGUGGGGUAAAGGCCUACCAAGGCGACGAUCCUUAGCUGGUCUGAGAGGAUGAUCAGCCACACUGGGACUGAGACACGGCCCAGACUCCUACGGGAGGCAGCAGUGGGGAAUAUUGGACAAUGGGCGAAAGCCUGAUCCAGCAAUGCCGCGUGAGUGAUGAAGGCCUUAGGGUUGUAAAGCUCUUUUACCCGGGAUGAUAAUGACAGUACCGGGAGAAUAAGCCCCGGCUAACUCCGUG
Molecule: ribosomal RNA, 433 nt
Filed under: uncultured bacterium
Lineage: Bacteria
Description: partial 16S ribosomal RNA
Rfam family: Bacterial small subunit ribosomal RNA
Source: RNAcentral